Molecule: transfer RNA, 72 nt
Filed under: Thermoproteus tenax
Lineage: Archaea; Thermoproteati; Thermoproteota; Thermoprotei; Thermoproteales; Thermoproteaceae
Also listed under: 2 other names
Description: tRNA-Ala
Rfam family: tRNA
About the family: Transfer RNA (tRNA) molecules are approximately 80 nucleotides in length.
Source: RNAcentral
GGGCCGGUAGUCUAGCGGAAGGACGCCCGCCUCGCGCGCGGGAGAUCCCGGGUUCGAAUCCCGGCCGGUCCA